UGGCCCUCCCACGAGAGAGCUGCCUUCCGGGCGCUUCACCUGGUGGGUGCGAGAUAGAGACGAGGACCGGUG
Molecule: ribosomal RNA, 72 nt
Filed under: Trentepohlia sp. TreFl 144
Lineage: Eukaryota; Viridiplantae; Chlorophyta; Ulvophyceae; Trentepohliales; Trentepohliaceae
Description: 5.8S ribosomal RNA
Source: RNAcentral